This 253-nucleotide ribosomal RNA is filed under the name uncultured bacterium. RNAcentral describes it as "partial 16S ribosomal RNA". It matches the Rfam family "Bacterial small subunit ribosomal RNA", at positions 524 to 776 of the family's 1533-position model. The record is from RNAcentral.
UACGUAGGGUGCGAGCGUUAAUCGGAAUUACUGGGCGUAAAGCGUGCGCAGGCGGCCUCUUAAGCCAGAUGUGAAAUCCCCGGGCUUAACCUGGGAACUGCGUUUGGAACUGGGAGGCUAGAGUGUGGCAGAGGGGGGUGGAAUUCCCGGUGUAGCAGUGAAAUGCGUAGAUAUCGGGAGGAACACCAAUGGCGAAGGCAGCCCCCUGGGUUAACACUGACGCUCAUGCACGAAAGCGUGGGGAGCAAACAGG